Molecule: transfer RNA, 61 nt
Filed under: human gut metagenome
Also listed under: 1 other name
Rfam family: tRNA
About the family: Transfer RNA (tRNA) molecules are approximately 80 nucleotides in length.
Source: RNAcentral
CUUAGCUCAGUUGGUAGAGCAAUUGACUCUUAAUCAAUGGGUCCAGGGUUCGAGUCCCUGA